CGCCUUGCCAGCCCGCUCAGAAACUACAAAGGAAUUGACGGGGGCCCGCACAAGCGGUGGAGUAUGUGGUUUAAUUCGAUGCAACGCGAAGAACCUUACCUGGUCUUGACAUCCCGGAGACCCUUAGGAAACUAGGGGGUGCUUCCAUCUGGAAGAAUCUGGAGACAGGUGCCGCAUGGCUGUCGUCAGCUCGUGUCGUGAGAUGUUGGGUUAAGUCCCGCAACGAGCGCAACCCUUGCCUUUAGUUGCCAGCAGUUCGGCUGGGCACUCUAAAGGGACUGCCGGUGUUAAACCGGAGGAAGGUGGGGAUGACGUCAAGUCCUCAUGGCCUUUAUGACCAGGGCUACACACGUACUACAAUGGCCGAUACAAAGGGCAGCGACACUGCGAGGUGAAGCCAAUCCCGUAAAAUCGGUCUCAGUCCGGAUUGGAGUCUGCAACUCGACUCCAUGAAGUUGGAAUCGCUAGUAAUCGUGGAUCAGCAUGCCACGGUGAAUACGUUCCCGGGCCUU
This 512-nucleotide ribosomal RNA is filed under the name uncultured Desulfobulbus sp. Its description in RNAcentral is "bacterial SSU rRNA". It matches the Rfam family "Bacterial small subunit ribosomal RNA", at positions 903 to 1382 of the family's 1533-position model. The record is from RNAcentral. Lineage: Bacteria; Pseudomonadati; Thermodesulfobacteriota; Desulfobulbia; Desulfobulbales; Desulfobulbaceae.